This is a non-coding RNA of Punica granatum (pomegranate), 532 nucleotides long. Lineage: Eukaryota; Viridiplantae; Streptophyta; Magnoliopsida; Myrtales; Lythraceae. The record is from RefSeq and is a predicted model, not a curated record.
CCUAUGUCUUAUCCAAUUACCUUAAAAAUCGAAAAUGCAUAAAAAAAUCGGUGAACCCAAAAAUUGGUCGGUUUUUAGACAAAUCCAUUUGAAUCGGCCGGUUGAUGGGUUCAAGAUUUUUAAAGGAAAUUCAGAUCCCCCGAGCCCAAAGCCGAAAUCCGAAAAUGAGCAGACUCAGCAGAGCACAAUUAAAUCAAAGAUUCAAAAUCGAAAACUGAAGUCUGAAACCCUAGUCGGCUAGUCCUCUUCACUCUUUUCUUCACUCUUCACUCCAAUUAAGUUCAGUCAUCGAUUGAUUCGACUCAUCAGUGACUUCAGUUCGAGGCCGAGCUUCCUCUUCUUCUUCGAGUAACGCAAGAUUGCAACAGCAUUAAAGCUCCAGAAGGGAAAAAAAACAUGACUGAUUCAGAAAGGAGGAAGGAAAAGAAACGGCUAAAGAAGAAGCAAAAGGAACUCUUGAGGAAACAAACCGAUUCUAAUUUUCUAUAUUAUUUUCUUAAAAUAAUAAUAAUAUAUUUAUUUUAUAAUUAAA